This 526-nucleotide ribosomal RNA is filed under the name uncultured bacterium. Its description in RNAcentral is "bacterial SSU rRNA". It matches the Rfam family "Bacterial small subunit ribosomal RNA", at positions 8 to 523 of the family's 1533-position model. The record is from RNAcentral.
AGAGUUUGAUCAUGGCUCAGAUUGAACGCUGGCGGCAGGCUUAACACAUGCAAGUCGAGCGGAAACGACGAAAAGCUUGCUUUUCAGGCGUCGAGCGGCGGACGGGUGAGUAAUGCUUGGGAAUAUGCCUUAUGGUGGGGGACAACAGUUGGAAACGACUGCUAAUACCGCAUAAUGUCUACGGACCAAAGGGGGGGAUCUUCGGACCUCUCGCCAUUUGAUUAGCCCAAGUGAGAUUAGCUAGUUGGUAGGGUAAUGGCUUACCAAGGCGACGAUCUCUAGCUGGUUUGAGAGGAUGAUCAGCCACACUGGGACUGAGACACGGCCCAGACUCCUACGGGAGGCAGCAGUGGGGAAUAUUGCACAAUGGGCGAAAGCCUGAUGCAGCCAUGCCGCGUGUGUGAAGAAGGCCUUCGGGUUGUAAAGCACUUUCAGUAAGGAGGAAAGGGGUGUAGUUAAUAACUGCAUCCUGUGACGUUACUUACAGAAGAAGCACCGGCUAACUUCGUGCCAGCAGCCGCGGUAA